Molecule: ribosomal RNA, 480 nt
Filed under: uncultured bacterium
Lineage: Bacteria
Description: bacterial SSU rRNA
Rfam family: Bacterial small subunit ribosomal RNA
Source: RNAcentral
GACGAACGCUGGCGGCGUGCUUAACACAUGCAAGUCGAACGGUGAAGCCCUUCGGGGUGGAUCAGUGGCGAACGGGUGAGUAACACGUGAGCAAUCUGCCCUUGACUCUGGGAUAACUUCGGGAAACCGGAGCUAAUACCGGAUAUGACUUACGGCCGCAUGGUCUGUGGGUGGAAAGAUUUAUCGGUCAGGGAUGAGCUCGCGGCCUAUCAGCUUGUUGGUGGGGUAANGGCCCACCAAGGCGACGACGGGUAGCCGGCCUGAGAGGGCGACCGGCCACACUGGGACUGAGACACGGCCCAGACUCCUACGGGAGGCAGCAGUGGGGAAUAUUGCGCAAUGGGCGAAAGCCUGACGCAGCGACGCCGCGUGAGGGAUGAAGGCCUCGGUCGUAAACCUCUUCUAGCAGGGAAGAAGACGAAGUAGACGGUACCUGCAGAAGAAGCACCGGCUAACUACGUGCCAGCCGCCGCCGUAACU